UGGAGGAAUAUGGUAUCGUGCUAGGGUUAAUACCUUCUCUAGACUUAUGAAGAAGAGAGAAAAGGAGAUGGGGACAGCAGUUUGGAGAGAAACUUAGGUAUUGGCUUGAUGGAAAGAGAGAAAGCGAAGAGCUUUGAUGGAGGAGAGAAGGAGAAAGAGAGAGGAAAGAAGAUGAAGAACCCCACAAGGGGGCUGAUGCAUUGAGAAAGGAGGGUUGGGGUAUA
RNAcentral lists this long non-coding RNA (224 nucleotides) under Elaeis guineensis (African oil palm). Its description in RNAcentral is "long non-coding RNA (EGUI_LNC076121)". Lineage: Eukaryota; Viridiplantae; Streptophyta; Magnoliopsida; Arecales; Arecaceae. The record is from RNAcentral.